UACGUAGGGACCAAGCGUUGUUCGGAUUUACUGGGCGUAAAGGGCGCGUAGGCGGCAUAUUAAGUCAGCUGUGAAGUCUCUGGGCUUAACCCAGAACUGUCAGCUGAUACUGAUGUGCUAGAGUGCAGAAGGGGCAAUCGGAAUUCUUGGUGUAGCGGUGAAAUGCGUAGAUAUCAAGAGGAACACCUGAGGUGAAGACGGGUUGCUGGGCUGACACUGACGCUGAGUGCGCGAAAGCCAGGGGAGCAAACGGG
This 254-nucleotide ribosomal RNA is filed under the name uncultured bacterium. RNAcentral describes it as "partial 16S ribosomal RNA". It matches the Rfam family "Bacterial small subunit ribosomal RNA", at positions 524 to 776 of the family's 1533-position model. The record is from RNAcentral.